This 791-nucleotide unclassified non-coding RNA is filed under the name Hevea brasiliensis (rubber tree). The record is from RNAcentral. Lineage: Eukaryota; Viridiplantae; Streptophyta; Magnoliopsida; Malpighiales; Euphorbiaceae.
GUAAUUUUUUCCUACAGUCGAUGUUUUUUUUUUGUGGAUUUUGUGAUUGUAGGGAGGCACAUUUCAUCCCAUCUUUUGACUUUGUUUUCUUGUCCAUAAGUGAUUGAUGGUCUAGAGCUAUUGGUGCAGUAUCCCAACUAGAUUGAAUUAAGGCUUUGUUGAGUUGAUUAUGCGAAUGGACUCACUAAUCAUAGCUUGCUGCCUCUUAGAGCUUUUCUAACAAAGAAUUUGCAUGAUGUUGAAUUUUAGAACUAUGUACUUGGUGAAAAUAUACUUCUUUUAUGAAAUGCUGUCAUCAAUCAACAUUGACAAGGUAUAAGGGCUAUUGGGAUACUUGAAUUCCAUAAGAGUUUACUCAAUUCUUUUGAUGUGAGAUAAAAGAACACAUAUGAAGUUACUGCUAUAAAAGUACACCUUUAAUUGUGUAUUGAAAUAGACUUUAUCAAGACAAGGAUCUUCUCCUUCUUUGGGAGUGAAGUAUAGUUAGUGAAAUCUAAUUUGAUGAAAACCAUCCGUUUUUUAUUGCAGUAAUAGUUGCAAAAAUUGUUUUGACGAGAUCGGUUAUGCAAAGGUUCCAAAGGCAAGAAAUGAUCAUUUGUUUAUGUCAUUAUUGGUCUAAAUGAGAGUGAUUGUUUUUUGCAUAUAAGAAGUGCAUGGUAUUGUAUUGAGUAGCAAAUCCUAAUUUCUUGCUGGAAAAGUAAUUUUGGGGAUAGUUUGAAUGGGACCAGUAAUGGAGUAUAAGAUGAUCAUUAUUAACAUUUUUUUUUGUCAUGUACUACUAUUUCUAUUUC